GUGUUCAUUAUAUGAGAGGAUAUGUACUCUGACUUUAUGUUAUGCUUUGUCAUCCCCACAGAAGGGAUCUACGGAGACUCGGUGAACCAAACGGAAGGAAUCGUCAUGGUAUCCCAGGGGGACCCCGUGCUUCUGAACUGCACCUAUGAGUUUCCUGGGUACCCUUCCCCCUUCUGGUAUGUGCAGGACCCCAACGAGCCCCUAACGCUCUUCCUGAGGGAUGUGGGAAGGGGGGGCGCGGAUGAGGGUGCCAGGAGAGGAUUCAGCGCUAAAGCCGAGAGGAAAACAGCAUCCUUCCACCUGUGGAAACCAUCCAGCGAACUGGGCGACUCCGCGACCUAUUACUGCGCCGCGAGCGACACAGUGACACGGAGCAGCACGUGAGCUGCGCAAAAAGCGGACAGGGUCUCUGCGGAGCAGUGGAGAUGCGGGCACCCGGGUCUGGGGGCGACUGGGUGGCAGAAGGGGGAAAAUGUGCAAUCACUGAACUUGGAACAGAAAUAUUUCUCUCUCUCUGUAUCGGUCUCUGUGUUUUCCUUCUUUGCUUUAAUCCGGAGUGUUGCCAUCUCAGAAAUGGAGGUGAAUGUCGUGAAUCUCCCAGUAAGGUAAAAUCACAAAAGAUCAGAACACAUCCACCCUCUCAUGAGCAACUCUGGUGAAAGCUGCCCCCAGCCCUGUUCUCGAAGGAAUGUGCAAUCGGACAGUUCAAUGUCACUGAAACUAAACCAAUAAACACAAGAAAUCUGCCAUAAUCACGGUGGAAAAGUUCGCAUUUUAUAGGAGAACUGGCACUGUGCAGUUCAGAAAUCUUCACCCGCCCUGUAUACACAGACAGACAGAGACUUUAGAAGACCGUCCUGACCUGUUGUGUCAGUAAAAUGCUCACUAGCUCUGUGAGAAAGGCUGGUUUACGGGCAAAGGUGUAAGAAAAUCUCCUGGAACCAUUCCCCAUGUGUGAACACAUUUUACCACGCGGGGGCGGUGUGGUGCUAGAUAAACAAUACAAGGAACAGCCCGUUCUUCUGCCCCCUGGUCUCUGCCCGCCCCUGACGCCAGUCUAGCCCCUUUUGCCCUUCAGACUCUCCUGUUUCUGACGGCACCAUUGAGGAGGAUUUACAGAGCAGAGAGGCUCACUCGUGUGAAGCUGGGUUUAUGUUAUUCUGACAGCUCCUGCUCAGAGAUACAACAUUCAUUUUCAGGCACAUUUAAUGUACCUAGGACAGAAUUCUUGCCUUCUCUAAAUUGUACCUACUAGACACGAAGGCAGAUCAAUUGUUCCGGGAUUAGGAAAUUAGCUCGGUUUAGUCAAAGAAUCAUUCAACCCAAGGAUGGCUCCAACUUGGUUCUCCGGUGUUAUAGUCACGGUAGCUAUUCUAGAAAGCACCUAUGGAGCGGACUCAGUGACCCAAACUGACGGCAGCGUUUUCAUCUCCCAAGGGGACCCGGUGCUUCUUAACUGCACAUAUCAGGUUUCUGGGUUUCCUUACCCCGUCUGGUACGUGCAAUAUCCCAACCAGGCCCUCAGACUCUUCCUGAGGGACCUGGGACCGGAGGACUCGGAUGAAGGGAUCACUAAAGGGUUCAAUGCCUCCCACGAUAAAAAGCACAAAUCCUUCCACCUGUGGAAACCGUCCAGCGAACUGAGCGAUUCCGCGACCUAUUACUGCGCCGCGAGCAACACAGUGACACGAAGCAGCGGGGAGCUGCGCAAAAACCGGGCAGGGUCUGUGCGGAGCAGCAGGGAUACGGGCACCGGGGUCUGGGGGCGACUCAGGGGCGGGGAAGUCUGCAAAUACUGAACUUGGAACAGAAAUCUUUCUCUCUUUCUUUCCCCUAAUCCGGAGUUGAACCACCUAGUGAACGAUGGUGAAUGCCAUGAAUCACGCAUUAAGGUAAAAUCAGGAAAGAUC
This is a non-coding RNA of Chelonia mydas (Green sea turtle), 1910 nucleotides long. NCBI's taxonomy places the organism in Eukaryota, Metazoa, Chordata, Testudines, Cheloniidae. The record is from the annotation of a RefSeq genome assembly.